GAUGAACGCUGGCGGCGUGCCUAAUACAUGCAAGUCGAGCGAACAGACGAGGAGCUUGCUCCUCUGACGUUAGCGGCGGACGGGUGAGUAACACGUGGAUAACCUACCUAUAAGACUGGGAUAACUUCGGGAAACCGGAGCUAAUACCGGAUAAUAUAUUGAACCGCAUGGUUCAAUAGUGAAAGACGGUUUUGCUGUCACUUAUAGAUGGAUCCGCGCCGCAUUAGCUAGUUGGUAAGGUAACGGCUUACCAAGGCAACGAUGCGUAGCCGACCUGAGAGGGGGAUCCGCCAAACGUGAAAUGAGGAACGUGCCCAACUCCGACGGGGGGCAGGAGGAGGGAAUCUUCCGGAAUGGGCGAAAGCCUGACGGAGCAAAACCGGGGGAGUGAUGAAGGGUUGCGGAUCGUAAAACUCUGUUAUUGGGGAAAAAAAAAUGUGUAAGUAACUAUGCACGUCUUGACGGUACCUAAUCAGAAAGCCACGGCUAACUACGU
Molecule: ribosomal RNA, 496 nt
Filed under: uncultured bacterium
Lineage: Bacteria
Description: partial 16S ribosomal RNA
Rfam family: Bacterial small subunit ribosomal RNA
Source: RNAcentral